Oncorhynchus tshawytscha (Chinook salmon) is the source of this 966-nucleotide long non-coding RNA. The record is from Ensembl. Lineage: Eukaryota; Metazoa; Chordata; Actinopteri; Salmoniformes; Salmonidae.
UUACCACACCAAGAGAUAACCACACAGUUUACCAUUACCACACCAAGAGAUAACCACACAGUUUACCAUUACCACACCAAGAGAUAACCACACAGUUUACCAUUACCACACCAAGAGAUAACCACACAGCUCACCAUUAUGGAGACACCACACCAAGAGAUAACCACACAGCUCACCAUUAUGGAGACACCACACAGCUCACCAUUACGGGGAUACUAGAGCUUACCAUUACAGAUACCAACACCAAGAGAACCACACAGCUCACCAUUACGGAGAUACCACACAGCUCACUGUUAUGGAGAUACCACACAGCUCACCGUUAUGGAGAUACUAGAGCUUACCAUUACAGAUACCAACACCAAGAGAACCACACAGCUCACCAUUACGGAGAUACCACACAGCUCACCAUUACGGAGAUACUAGAGCUUACCAUUACAGAUACCACACCAAGAAUACCACACAGCUCACCAUUACGGAGAUACCACACAGCUCACCAUUAUGAAGAUACUAGAGCUUACCAUUACAGAUACCAACACCAAGAGAUACCACACAGCUCACCAUUACGGAGAUACUAGAGCUUACCAUUACAGAUGCCACACCAAGAGAACCACACAGCUCACCAUUACGGAGAUAGCAUACCGAGAAACAGAACUUACCAUUAAGGAGAUACCAGACAGCUCACCAUUACGGAGAUACUACACCAAUAGAUAAACAGAACUUACCGUUAUGGAGAUACCACACAGCUCACCAUUAUGGAGAUACUAGAGCUUACCAUUACAGAUACCAACACCAAGAGAACCACACAGCUCACGAUUACGGAGAUACCACACAGCUCACUGUUACGGAGAUACCACACAGCUCACCGUUAUGGAGAUACUAGAGCUUACCAUUACAGAUACCAACACCAAGAGAACCACACAGCUCACCAUUACGGAGAUACCACACAGCUUACCAUUACGGAGAUAC